RNAcentral lists this ribosomal RNA (440 nucleotides) under uncultured bacterium. RNAcentral's name for it is "partial 16S ribosomal RNA". It matches the Rfam family "Bacterial small subunit ribosomal RNA", at positions 338 to 795 of the family's 1533-position model. The record is from RNAcentral.
CCUACGGGUGGCAGCAGUGGGGAAUAUUGCACAAUGGGGGAAACCCUGAUGCAGCGACGCCGCGUGAGUGAGGAAGUAUUUCGGUAUGUAAAGCUCUAUCAGCAGGGAUGAAAAUGACGGUACCUGACUAAGAAGCCCCGGCUAACUACGUGCCAGCAGCCGCGGUCAAACGUAGGGUGCACGCGUUAUCUGGAUUUACUGGGUGUAAGGGGAGCGUAGACGGGUAAUCAAGUCAUAAGUGAAAACCCAGGGCUAAACCGUGGGACUGCUUUUGAAACUGAGUAGCUAGAGUGCAGGAGAGGUAAGCGGAAUUCGUGGUGUAGCGGUGAAAUGCGUAGAUAUUAGGAGGAACACCAGUGGCGAAGGCGGCUUACUGGACUGUAACUGACGUUGAGGCUCGAAAGCGUGGGGAGCAAACAGGAUUAGAUACCCGGGUAGUC